GACGAACCGUGCAAACGUUAUUCGGAAUCACUGGGCUUAAAGCGCGUGUAGGCGGGCGGACACGUCGGUCGCUGAAAGCCCCCGGCUCAACCGGGGAACGGGCACCGAUACGAUCCGCCUCGAGGGGGGUAGGGGGACCGGGAACUUCCGGUGGAGCGGUGAAAUGCGUUGAGAUCGGAAGGAACGCCCGUGGCGAAAGCGCGGUCCUGGACCCCUUCUGACGCUGAGACGCGAAAGCCAGGGGAGCAAACGGG
This 254-nucleotide unclassified non-coding RNA is filed under the name uncultured Planctomycetia bacterium. RNAcentral's name for it is "contains 16S-23S intergenic spacer region". It matches the Rfam family "Bacterial small subunit ribosomal RNA", at positions 524 to 776 of the family's 1533-position model. Lineage: Bacteria; Pseudomonadati; Planctomycetota; Planctomycetia. The record is from RNAcentral.